This 253-nucleotide ribosomal RNA is filed under the name uncultured bacterium. RNAcentral describes it as "partial 16S ribosomal RNA". It matches the Rfam family "Bacterial small subunit ribosomal RNA", at positions 524 to 776 of the family's 1533-position model. The record is from RNAcentral.
UACGGGGGGGGCAAGCGUUGUUCGGAAUUACUGGGCGUAAAGGGCUCGUAGGCGGCCAACUAAGUCGGAUGUGAAAUCCCCAGGCUUAACCUGGGAACUGCAUCCGAUACUGGAUGGCUUGAAUCCGGGAGAGGGAUGCGGAAUUCCAGGUGUAGCGGUGAAAUGCGUAGAUAUCGGAAGGAACGCCGGUGGCGAAAGCGCACAACUGGUCCUCUUCUGACGCUGAGGCGCGAAAGCCAGGGGAGCAAACGGG